UACGGGGGGGCAAGCGUUGUUCGGAAUUACUGGGCGUAAAGGGUUCGUAGGUGGCCAAUUAAGUCAGACGUGAAAUCCCUCAGCUUAACUGGGGAACUGCGUCUGAGACUGGAUGGCUUGAGUGCAGGAGAGGAACGCGGAAUUCCAGGUGUAGCGGUGAAAUGCGUAGAUAUCUGGAGGAACACCGGUGGCGAAGGCGGCGUUCUGGACUGCAACUGACACUGAGGAACGAAAGCCAGGGGAGCAAACGGG
RNAcentral lists this ribosomal RNA (252 nucleotides) under uncultured bacterium. Its description in RNAcentral is "partial 16S ribosomal RNA". It matches the Rfam family "Bacterial small subunit ribosomal RNA", at positions 524 to 776 of the family's 1533-position model. The record is from RNAcentral.